This 442-nucleotide ribosomal RNA is filed under the name uncultured bacterium. RNAcentral's name for it is "partial 16S ribosomal RNA". It matches the Rfam family "Bacterial small subunit ribosomal RNA", at positions 338 to 795 of the family's 1533-position model. The record is from RNAcentral.
CCUACGGGUGGCAGCAGUGGGGAAUAUUGGGCAAUGGGCGCAAGCCUGACCCAGCAACGCAGCGUGAAGGAAGAAGGCUUUCGGGGUGUAAACUUCUUUUAAGAGGGAAGAGCAGAAGACGGUACCUCUUGAAUAAGCCACGGCUAACUACGUGCCAGCAGCCGCGGUAAUACGUAGGUGGCAAGCGUUGUCCGGAUUUACUGGGUGUUACGGGCGUGUAGCCGGGCUGACAAGUCAGAUGUGAAAUUCCGGGGCUCAACCCCGGACCUGCAUUUGAAACUGUUGGUCUUGAGUAUCGGAGAGGCAGGCGGAAUUCCUGGUGUAGCGGUGAAAUGCGUAGAUAUUAGGAGGAACACCAGUGGCGAAGGCGGCCUGCUGGACGACAACUGACGGUGAGGCGCGAAGGCGUGGGGAGCAAACAGGAUUAGAUACCCUGGUAGUC